Molecule: unclassified non-coding RNA, 1363 nt
Filed under: Hevea brasiliensis (rubber tree)
Lineage: Eukaryota; Viridiplantae; Streptophyta; Magnoliopsida; Malpighiales; Euphorbiaceae
Source: RNAcentral
UGAUAAUGUCAUCUGCCCUCAGUUACAACCAGUAGGAGCAUCUUAUCUCUAGUAAUUUUACAUUAAAACUGCAAAUCCAGCAAGAUUAAUCCAAAGUACCACCAAAAACGGUGUUCUACCUGUGACCAGAAAAGAGAAUUUGUACACCAGGAAAUGAAAGAUAACAAUAAAACAGAACCAACCAACUCCUUAUAUGUAAGUCUGGUAAAAAUGAAAACAAACUUGCAGCAAAUACACGAUGCAAUGUGCAGUAACCUUGAAAUUUUGACCUGCAGCGAUCAGUACUUCCUUUUAGCCCACCAAAGAAGAACAACCAUGAGAAUCAACAGCAGCUGCUCAUGCUCUUGGCAUUCAGAGUUGUAAAAUACACUGCAGCUAAUAACCAAUUUAGCAGUCAAUGUUUUUGCUUUUCAGAGAUACAAAACGUAUUCCUUGCUUUCCAAGUUCCAAGUUCUUCUUCUUCCCAUCAUCAAGAGCAACAGACACAACCGAUGACCCUUCAAAGACUUCUACCACUGUGCCUCUAUGCCAGGCAUUAUCAGACGAAUGAUGAACUUCCACUCGCUUUCCUUUUGCAUCUUUUCCCAACUUCUGCAGUAUCCAGUUAGCAUCCAAAAACUCAUCCAUUGUAUUGUCUUCAUACCGCUGCGAUGAAUUAUCAUCAGCCCUGGUUGAUGCUUUUUCUCCGAAGGCUGGUGCUCUUUUUCUCUUAGACCUCUGGCCCUUAACCAUGCUUUUAUCCUCCUCUCCCGGGGAAGCCCAGGCAUUUUGAUUGUCAUGGUAAGGAUUCUUGAACUUGAGCUUCAGCAGAGGUUUUGGAUCCUUUCUCGUUGAAUUUGAUACUGAAGGUGUGCUAAUUUUCUCGUCAUUCAGGUCAUCACAAGAAGCAGGCCCAGCUUCGGCAUGUUUUACAGAAGCCAAUUUGUUGUCCCUUGUAGCAGGAACUUCAGCUCCAGCCCUUGUAACAACACUACCGUCAUUGCUCCUUUUUCCUAUUAUACCAAAAGUCUUCAGUGGAGGAUGAGGUCCAGAUCCAUCAGCAAAAUUUCCACCAACUUUGGCAGGGAAAUUAGUACCUUCUGAGCUAACUUUCUUGAUCUUUAUUAAGUUGCUUUCUUUACCCCUAUGAUUUUGACCCUUUAUUUGGUCCAUAUGAUCCACCUUAUGCCCUUUUCCACCACCAAGUUUAGCUGCAGUAUCAUUCCUUUCCGAGUUCUCAUUCUCUCUCAGCUGAACUAGAUCCUCACUACCAUUUGAAGUAGUCAAAUCUUGCUCUUUCUGACAGCUUGAAGCAUCAGACUUUGGGGAACCUGCUAUAUUUUUAUUCCGCGAGCCCAAAUGUAUAACAAGCUUUGGCCCCUUA